GCCAAAUUACCAAAAAAAAAAUGACCAAAUAAUUCCUUAGAUAAAAUAGUCCAGUUUCUAAGAUCUUGGGCAGUGAAUUGUUCAUUUCUUUAGCAACUAGCACCAGAAGGAUGCAUAUUCUUGCUGUAGAAAACAAAAGCAGAAUGACUGCUAGAUAGGAUAGGGGAAAGUGAUGCUAUGUGGCAGGGGAGAUGUUGCUGGUUUAGCCAAGAAAAGACUCUGCCUUCACAGGGAGCCUGGCUGCUAUGAGAAAAGGGGGGCUAUUGGAAUUGUUUAAAGCUGAAUCAUCAGCAUUAUCUUUAUCCACAAUUAUAGACAUUCCUGAGAGCCUCCUGUGUCUAGAGCCCUGUGCUGGGGCUACAGAGAAGGAAGGAAUUGCUGGUUGGCUACUGUUGCUAUGGGAACGAGAAGUCAAAUGAAAUGACAUGAUUCCACCUUUAAGAAUCCAAGAAAAGGGACAAAAACAUGAAGAUGAAUCAUUAAAGAACAGAGGAGGGAGGAGCUACAUUUUUCUGGUGUUGCUGGGGACAAGCCAGGAGCCAAAGGGAGAUUUGUGUGAAAAGCCCCGAAGACUGAUUUGGGGACAUUUACAUGUGAGCUAUUAUUAUAUUUAUUAAUUCAUUGUUAUAUUUAUAAUGUUAUCAUU
This 646-nucleotide long non-coding RNA is filed under the name Monodelphis domestica (gray short-tailed opossum). RNAcentral's name for it is "lncRNA (ENSMODG00000046475.1)". Lineage: Eukaryota; Metazoa; Chordata; Mammalia; Didelphimorphia; Didelphidae. The record is from RNAcentral.